Molecule: unclassified non-coding RNA, 264 nt
Filed under: Glomeraceae sp.
Lineage: Eukaryota; Fungi; Glomeromycota; Glomeromycetes; Glomerales; Glomeraceae
Description: partial contains 5.8S ribosomal RNA and internal transcribed spacer 2
Rfam family: 5.8S ribosomal RNA (bases 1-70)
Source: RNAcentral
GUGAUCAUCAAAUUUUUGAACGCAAAUUGCGCUUCCUGGCAUCCCGGGAAGUAUGCCUGUUUGAGGUUCAGUAUUAACAAAAAAUCGGUUUGUUUGCAAAUUGUGACUUUUCCGUAGUUUGGGCUAUCUUAACUUUUUUGGUUAAGGGGCUUAAAAUUGACCUUUUUUGCGCAUUUUUAGACUUACAUAAAUUUUUUUUUUUAUUCGUCUAUUCUUAAUUCCAAAAUCUUAUUUGAUUCAAUUACAUCGUGUGGUUUCUGUUUC